ACUCCUACGGGAGGCAGCAGUGGGGAAUUUUGGACAAUGGGGGCAACCCUGAUCCAGCAAUGCCGCGUGAGUGAAGAAGGCCUUCGGGUUGUAAAGCUCUUUUGUCAGGGAAGAAACGGUGGUGGCGAAUAACUACUACUAAUGACGGUACCUGAAGAAUAAGCACCGGCUAACUACGUGCCAGCAGCCGCGGUAAUACGUAGGGUGCAAGCGUUAAUCGGAAUUACUGGGCGUAAAGCGUGCGCAGGCGGUUGUGUAAGUCAGAUGUGAAAUCCCCGGGCUCAACCUGGGAAUUGCAUUUGAGACUGCACGGCUAGAGUGUGUCAGAGGGGGGUAGAAUUCCACGUGUAGCAGUGAAAUGCGUAGAUAUGUGGAGGAAUACCGAUGGCGAAGGCAGCCCCCUGGGAUAACACUGACGCUCAUGCACGAAAGCGUGGGGAGCAAACAGGAUUAGAUACCCUUGUAGUCCCA
Molecule: ribosomal RNA, 471 nt
Filed under: uncultured organism
Description: partial 16S ribosomal RNA
Rfam family: Bacterial small subunit ribosomal RNA
Source: RNAcentral